AUUGAUCUAAAUUAAGAGAGCGUUGGAUUUGGGUAUUUUUAUGUACCAACAAUAUUUUAUUUAGUUCCAAACUAAGAGAAAUUCCCUUGAUGUAUAUGUAUUGUCCAUGUUUUGUUUUAAUUAAGAUGCUACUAACACUAAACAUAGUUAAGUGCAAAUGAAACAAUUAAAACGAUGGUUUGACUGCAAGACAGGUUACAUGUGAUAAUAAAGUAAUUUAGAUUUGUCCAAUAAAGGAGUUGAUGUAUUAGAGUGUUUGAAGCUUUAGCAUAGUGAAAAAUUUGUACCUUUGUGCAAUCUACCACACAAACUAAUUUUUGGAAAUUGAAAUGCCUUCACAUCAACUUUGCAACUUGGCAUGGUAUACUCUCACCGUUAGAAAAAUAGUGAAAAUAUUCUCAUCAUUUGGAUUUUCUUGAUCGUAGAGUAGAAUGUUCAAAGAAGAUGAACGACUUCUGAUGUCAUUAUACCUCUAGCACAUGUGAAAUCCCUUUUAGCAACUUUAGUCAUUGAAAUUUCAUUUCAAUGAAAAAAAACAAUAACUCAAUGAAACCAUCAAUAUUUAAUCACCAUUACACACAAAUUUAUGCUUAAAAAGUAAGUAUUCAAAUUUAUGCUACAUUGUAUAAAGAGUUCUGAUAUAAGCAAUUAUACAAAUAACAUCAUAUUAUUUUAUCAACAAUUAGUUUGUAGAUCUCUUAUUUUUAGAUCUUCA
This 715-nucleotide long non-coding RNA is filed under the name Lathyrus oleraceus (garden pea). RNAcentral describes it as "Pisum sativum (pea) long non-coding RNA (PSAT_LNC013166)". Lineage: Eukaryota; Viridiplantae; Streptophyta; Magnoliopsida; Fabales; Fabaceae. The record is from RNAcentral.